Molecule: microRNA precursor, 95 nt
Organism: Takifugu rubripes (torafugu)
Lineage: Eukaryota; Metazoa; Chordata; Actinopteri; Tetraodontiformes; Tetraodontidae
Gene: mir15b
Product: microRNA mir-15b
Source: Ensembl
UGAGUCCCUUAGACUGCUAUAGCAGCGCAUCAUGGUUUGUAACGAUGUAGAAAAGGGUGCAAGCCAUAAUCUGCUGCUUUAGAAUUUUAAGGAAA